GCCAUAUGCAGAGGUCAUCCUUUACUUUAACUUUAAGGGAUACUUCAUGAAGGGAGGCGCCGUCCUUAUAGUUUAAGUAUCGUGCAGAGUCGCUUGAAGUACAGCCCGUUCCUUUACUUUAUAAAGUGAAGGUUCGCCUCUUACUAAAUUGCGAGUGAGGCCGAUCGUGUCCGAAGUUAACCGAACUUCCGUGACGUCACGAAUACGUCAUGGUUAACAGCCAAUAGGAACUGACCCACGAUUGACUUGUUUACUUUUUUGAUAACACGUUGAUUGUAGUUGGUUUGUAUUUGUUAGAUUUAUAUUCAAAUCUACCUUGAGAAUACAUCAUGACGUCCUCUCAAAAAUCCGAGCGAUUUUCAUCUAUCGAACGAAGCAUUUUGUUAGGGCUUGUUCGUUCCUGGGCACAUGUCAUCGAAUGUAAGAAGACAGACUUCAGCAACUUGGCUGCCAAGAAAGAUGCCUGGGCGCGAAUUGAAUGCGAGUUCAAUUCCCAACCUGAUGUCAUCAAGCGCUCCAGUGCCCAGCUGAAGAAAUGCUGGGAAAAUGUCAAGACCAAGCAGAAGAAAGCCCUUGCUCUUGCCACAAGACAGCGAAUGGCAACUGGUGGAGGACCUUUUGUUAAAGAUCCUCCCACAGAUCCUGAGCUGGAAAUAGCAUUGGGCGGUGUGUUGCAUUGUGUGGAUGAUGCUGUAGACUGUGACAUGACUUUUCCUUCAGAAGCUUCAGCUUCUGUAGAAAUUGUGAUGCCACAGUCUAACAAUACUGGCUCUGGUGCACUCAGUACUGGCAGCUUACUUGUGAAUGCAUCACAAGAAGAACCUCAUAGUAUUGUUCUACCAACACCUGUUUCUGGUUUUCGUGCUAGAAAUAAACCAGCAAUUGAUGUGGAGGUGGAGCGCAGGUUUUUAAACCUUGAGCGAGCCGACAAGCGUGCACGGAGAGUUCUCGCAAUGCAACAGGCUGAGCACAGGCUUAAGUUGAGAGCAAGUAAGGCAAUGGCAGAGGCAGAAGAGCAGCGCCUUGCAAACGAGCAGGCAGAAGCGGCUCGAGCAGUGGAAGCUGAGAAACGAGCUAUUAAAUUUGAGCUCAUGGCAGAACAGCGUAGGGCUGAGCUGCACGCACAGCAAAUGCGACACGCUGACGAGCUACAUAAGCUGCGCAUCAAGAUCCUCACGGAAGCAAAUGAUGUAGUGUUUUAAAAACAAUUUUUUUUUUUUGUUUUUAAGAUACUGCAUUGUUUGCUUCGCAUUAACAUGGUAAUAGGCCUCCUGGGGAACUCGCCAUUUAAAAUAAAGAGUAACGAGUUGAGUGUUAUACCUCCAGAUGUUUACCACACGUGGUAGACAUCUAAGGUGAUUUGGAAACUGGCACAGUCAGGUAAGUAUCGUCUUGUUCCAAUUAUGCUAAAUGUGCAUGCCAAUAUUUUUUAAUGGUAAAAAAGUGUCCUUUAGCUUCUCUUACUGAUCUAUUUCAAUUAAAGUUAUCUGUGACACUACUUGCAAUGUGUGGUUGCAAAUGUCUCCUGUACACCUUAUAAAUUGGGUAUUGUUCUUAUUUAUUACAAAGUGAAAUUUUUGGUGUCUA
Molecule: long non-coding RNA, 1587 nt
Organism: Bacillus rossius redtenbacheri
Lineage: Eukaryota; Metazoa; Arthropoda; Insecta; Phasmatodea; Bacillidae
Exons: 2
Source: RefSeq, a predicted model, not a curated record